This is a small nucleolar RNA of Megalobrama amblycephala (Wuchang bream), 214 nucleotides long. RefSeq annotates it as small nucleolar RNA U3. The transcript has a single exon. Lineage: Eukaryota; Metazoa; Chordata; Actinopteri; Cypriniformes; Xenocyprididae. The record is from RefSeq and is a predicted model, not a curated record.
AAGACUAUACUUUCAGGGAUCAUUUCUAUAGUUUCUAACUAGGAAGUGUACUAAGAAAGUGAUGAGUCUUCCAAACCAUGAUGAAGAAUUUAGAUACUUUUUUCUGAGCGUGAAUCAGAUGUGGAGUAAUGAUUUGGUUCAUAUGCUUUACAUCAUUGAAGAACGUUCCUACUUUUUCAUGAAGUAUGGAGGAAAAGAGUAUGAACAGAGUGGU